AAGAGAAAAUUUUUAACAGGGAACACCGGAGAAUGCCAGGUGGCCGAAGAACUUGAAACAUGGGUUGAGAGAUGUUUUACCGCAUCUCCAAACACCAAGACGUCAAAAGCAGGAGUGCUUUUAUUUUUCAGAAAAUAUGCAGAAGAAAAUCACCUACCGUAUCAUUCUAAGUCGGCGGCUACGUCGAUCGGAAUGCUUUUUAAGCACCGGUUUAACGCCAGCGGCCGCACCGCCAUCGGGGUCAGCACUGGAAUAUAUCGGUCUGGAGUCGGGCUGACAGAAUUUGGAAAAACGGAAUUUCAACGACUUACAUUAGCGCCGCUAGAGACAAU
Long non-coding RNA from Paramacrobiotus metropolitanus, 332 nucleotides. RefSeq lists it as uncharacterized. Lineage: Eukaryota; Metazoa; Tardigrada; Eutardigrada; Parachela; Macrobiotidae. The record is from RefSeq and is a predicted model, not a curated record. The transcript has 3 exons.